Ostrinia nubilalis (European corn borer) is the source of this 2284-nucleotide long non-coding RNA. RefSeq lists it as uncharacterized. Lineage: Eukaryota; Metazoa; Arthropoda; Insecta; Lepidoptera; Crambidae. The transcript is spliced from 3 exons. The record is from RefSeq and is a predicted model, not a curated record.
UCAAAAUAUCAAAUCAAAUUUGGCAACGAAAUAGAAAAUGUGACAAAACAACAUUAUUAAUUAAUUAUAGAAACUUCUUUCACUUGAUAAUUAUUAUCAUAACUAACACAGCGUAUAUUAUUAUUAUGUAUCUUAAUCAACAUUGACUUAAUCAGUCUACUAAAAUCAAUCUAGAAAGAAACGUCAUCUGAGGUUCUAUUUCCUCAUAAAAUUCAACAUAUUGUACAGAUUGUACGGCAUUUGACAAAACAAUAUUAUUCAUCAUAGGAACUUCUUUCACUUAAAAACUAUUAACUUAAUUAACACAGAGUAUAUGUAGCCUAAUCAACAUUGACUUACUUAAUCAAUCCACUAAAAUCAGUCUAGGUAGAAACGUCAUUUGAUACCUCAAAUCAGGAUGUAGUACCCUAUAUCCUCAAAAAAUUCAAUAUUACAAAGAUAACAUGUUCUCUCAUUUACUAAUAAGUUUAUAAUCACAAUUAUAAAGUCGAUAAAUCAACAUAAUAACAUUGAGUAAUAAAAGACUUCUAAAAACAAUAUUCAGUCUCUGAAAAAUUGACUAAGAAUUGAAGUCCUUAUAACAGUUUCUGUCUCUCACGAUACGACACGAUUUUACACGAAUAUAAAACAAGAAAACGAAAAAAGUUCCCAAGUCCAACAUACUAACUCCGAUAAAAAAAGGAAAGGACAGAAUCUUAUUACAUGUUUGUUGAGGACUCUGAUUCUUCAGCAGCCAGUGAUAAUGUUAAUACUACAACAAUAGACCUGGAAACCUUACAAUAUUUAAAAGAUGAAAACAAUACCUUAGAAUCCUUGAACAACUACCCAAAUGAAAAAAAACAUCCUUAAAUAUAAUACCUGCUUACCGAGUUCUGCCCAGGCUCUUCAAUCUUAGCUGAUCGCCAAUGGUAAUGGUAGGAAAGCUACACAAUCAAUUUUAGGAGUCAGCAACACUGAUAGCGCCACUAUGAGCUUUCCGUCGAUUUUAUUUAGCAGUAUUGUAAUUUAGUUCUUCCGUAAAAGUAAUGCAGAGGGCGUUAAAAUGAUACUAAAUUCAAUUUACACUUACGGUGAUAUUAAUGUUAUGGCUUUUGGGGCAUUUCAUUGUGGUGGUGUUAUUUCUGCGACCAUCCACAUGAUUUUCAUACCAUUUGGUAGAUUUCUAGUAAAUCAGUGUCAUACAAAAAAUACCUAAUUUUUAAAUUCAAGGUAUUUAAUAGAACUUUCAGCUAUUUCAAAAAAAUUGGUAUUGAUAUUUUUUGGUGUUAUUUAGUGUGAUUGGUAUUUUUUUCUGUUAUUUAGUGAAUGUAAAGGCGUUUUUAACAUUAAUUUAUUUAAUUACGGUAUAAACUGUUUUAGAAAACUGGUAACACCACCAAAUCCGCCAUAUUUAAUUCAUUGUUUUGUUUUGAAGAACAAGCAGUGAAUUUCUAAUUUUCUAACACAAAUUACUAUUUUCCAGUGUCUACUGUCGAGUUGAGAGUAUUCUCCUCCAGUUAGUGCGGCUGUAUAGAAUUCUUGUGAUUGUGUGUUGAGAAAGAGACUCGUUUAGUGUUUAUUUUGUAUUGAGACAGGACUCUAUGCAUUAUGUCGAUGUCUAGAAAAAAGUGUUGUGUCCUGGGUGUUCUUUCGAUUCAGAAAGUAAGUAUAGACCAAACUUUUCUUUAUGAUAAUACUCAAAACAACCAACUAACUUUAACUACUCAUCCAAACCUCUCUAUUCAAUUGAUUCUGACAAGCCCAAGAAGCACGUGGGGAAUAUUUAAAAAAAGGCCAGGAACCUAAAGAAAAUGUCUUUUUUAUAAAUGACCAAGAAGUGGUACCCUUGUAUGACCCUCCACAUUUAUUAAAGUGCAUAAGGAACAAUUUAUUGACCAAGAAUUUGGUUUAUUACGAAAAUAAUAUCAAACAUGUAGCAAAAUGGGAGCACCUAAUACUGCUGCUUAAAGAAAAUCCUGGCUACAAAGGUGUAAGGUUGAUCCCUAAAUUAACUGAAAACCACGUCCUGCCAGAAAAGGUUUCCAAAAACAAAAUGAAAGUGAAAUUGGCAAGUCAAAUUUUCAGCAGGACUGUUGCAACAAAUAUGGGUUACCUUGCAGAUAAAGGAAUUCUGCCCAAAGAAUGCAAAGAAACGGCUGAUAUUCUUAUAUUCUUUGAUAAUCUUUUCGAUUCGUUAAAUGGGAGUUUUAAAAUGAAUAAAUUUGCGAAGCCUCUACUCGGACCCGUCACGCCAAAAUCGCAACACUACAAGGUGUGGCAAGAUGCCAAAAUUAAAUUAAAACAA